This 515-nucleotide ribosomal RNA is filed under the name uncultured bacterium. RNAcentral's name for it is "partial 16S ribosomal RNA". It matches the Rfam family "Bacterial small subunit ribosomal RNA", at positions 28 to 523 of the family's 1533-position model. The record is from RNAcentral.
GAUGAACGCUGGCGGCGUGCCUAAUACAUGCAAGUCGAGCGAAUGGAUUAAGAGCUUGCUCUUAUGAAGUUAGCGGCGGACGGGUGAGUAACACGUGGGUAACCUGCCCAUAAGACUGGGAUAACUCCGGGAAACCGGGGCUAAUACCGGAUAACAUUUUGAACCGCAUGGUUCGAAAUUGAAAGGCGGCUUCGGCUGUCACUUAUGGAUGGGCCCGCGUCGCAUUAGCUAGUUGGUGAGGUAACGGCUCACCAAGGCAACGAUGCGUAGCCGGCCUGAGAGGGUGAUCGGGCACACGGGGACUGAGACACGGCCCAGACUCCUACGGGAGGCAGCAGUAGGGAAUCUUCCGCAAUGGACGAAAGUCUGACGGAGCAACGCCGCGUGAGUGAUGAAGGCUUUCGGGUCGUAAAACUCUGUUGUUAGGGAAGAACAAGUGCUAGUUGAAUAAGCUGGCACCUUGACGGUACCUAACCAGAAAGCCACGGCUAACUACGUGCCAGCCGCCGCCGUAA